UCAUUUUCACUGUCAUUAGGAAGAUUUACAGUAACAGAAGUUAACACAAGUUGCAGUCUGAUAGAACAUAUUUUUGAUGUCUGCAAUAUAGCCAUCAUGCAUUAUUACUAUGCAAGUAGAGGGAGACAAAUCAGAAAAUAAAUCUAGAGGAUCAACAAUCAAGAAAACAUUAAUAAAUUUUCAAUGUGGAUAGAGGGGAUAAACACAGGAAAAAUUCUGAACAAGUUUGGGAAACAAGCAACCAAUACGCAUCCUCUAACCCAAAAUUUUUCCAGUUCUACAUCUAUGGGCUUCUCAAUAAGUUUGUCUCCGACUCUUCAAAGCAGAGUUAUACAUGAACUUCACAUAAUUGCCCUGGAUUUGAGGGGCUCAAAAAAGAAAGAAGUAUAUUUGGCUAAGUAGAUAGAAUUUAUAAAUUUUUUUAAUUAAAGCACAAAACAACCAUGGAAAAAGCUAGAAAACGGGAGAAAGAGAAAUAAAAGGUCUGAGGGAUUGCACACAGAAUUCUAGAUACUUCUUAUCACUCGGUUCAAUGAGAUCAAAGACAACAUGAGAAAACAAGAGCUGAACAUUGUGUUUUAUUGGCUUCCAUAUGAACCGCACUAAAAUCAAAUAGCACCAUGUAUCCAUUGCAAUAUUUUUUUUACUGGCUGCAUCUUUUUUCUUCGUUUUCAACAAAUACAUGAUGUCAGCACGUUAGUUAAUGAAUAACACAUUUUACAGAACAAUAAAUGGGAAAUACAGCUGACAGUAACCAAAAUAAUUCUACCUGCCUUUUUUGUUUUUGCUUUUAGCAAAGAAAAAUAUAGCACUA
This 814-nucleotide unclassified non-coding RNA is filed under the name Hevea brasiliensis (rubber tree). Lineage: Eukaryota; Viridiplantae; Streptophyta; Magnoliopsida; Malpighiales; Euphorbiaceae. The record is from RNAcentral.